AAGAAGAAAAUAUUUUUAAAAAUAAUGUAAGAAAUAACUGCAAUGUCUUUUUUUUUCUUUUUAAACAGUGGCUGUGUGGAGUGGUGUGAAUGUGGCAGGUGUUUCUCUCCAGGAAUUGAAUCCAGAAAUGGGAACUGACAAUGAUAGUGAAAAUUGGAAGGAAGUGCAUAAGAUGGUGGUUGAAAGUGCCUAUGAAGUCAUCAAGCUAAAAGGAUAUACCAACUGGGCUAUUGGAUUAAGUGUGGCUGAUCUUAUUGAAUCCAUGUUGAAAAAUCUAUCCAGGAUUCAUCCCGUGUCAACAAUGGUAAAGGGGAUGUAUGGCAUUGAGAAUGAAGUCUUCCUGAGCCUUCCAUGUAUCCUCAAUGCCCGGGGAUUAACCAGCGUUAUCAACCAGAAGCUAAAGGAUGAUGAGGUUGCUCAGCUCAAGAAAAGUGCAGAUACCCUGUGGGACAUCCAGAAGGACCUAAAAGACCUGUGACUAGUGAGCUCUAGGCUGUAGAAAUUUAAAAACUACAAUGUGAUUAACUCAAGCCUUUAGUUUUCAUCCAUGUACAUGGAUCACAGUUUGCUUUGAUCUUCAAUAUGUGAAUUUGGGCUCACAGAAUCAAAGCCUAUGCUUGGUUUAAUGCUUGCAAUCUGAGCUCUUGAACAAAUAAAAUUAACUAUUGUAGUGUG
This 675-nucleotide small RNA is filed under the name Pan troglodytes (chimpanzee). Its description in RNAcentral is "retained intron". Lineage: Eukaryota; Metazoa; Chordata; Mammalia; Primates; Hominidae. The record is from RNAcentral.